GCGGAUGUAGCUCAGCUUGGCCAGAGCGUCGGCUUGCCAUGUCGAAGGUCCAGGGUUCGAGUCCCUGUAUCCGCA
This 75-nucleotide transfer RNA is filed under the name Caulobacterales bacterium. RNAcentral describes it as "tRNA-Gly". It matches the Rfam family "tRNA". Rfam says of the family: Transfer RNA (tRNA) molecules are approximately 80 nucleotides in length. The record is from RNAcentral. Lineage: Bacteria; Pseudomonadati; Pseudomonadota; Alphaproteobacteria; Caulobacterales.